This 1950-nucleotide long non-coding RNA is filed under the name Homo sapiens (human). Its description in RNAcentral is "HSALNT0114854". The record is from RNAcentral. Lineage: Eukaryota; Metazoa; Chordata; Mammalia; Primates; Hominidae.
CCUCCUGCACCUCCAUGUCUCUGUGUGUCCACACAUCCCUGCCUACUGCUUCCCAUCCCUGAUUCUAGACACCGGUUUAGCUACAGGAGACAAGAAUCACUUCCAAAGGAAGAUGUUGAAUUCAGGCAACAGAAUGGCACAUUUUCUUGGUAACCAGGCGGAUGAUAUGCUAAUGCAAGCUGGCAGACUUGAUCUCAAACUACAAAAAUACGCUCUGCCACGUGGAGGGGACAAAGGAGGAAAGAGACUUCAAGGCUAUCCUUUUGACUCGGGUUUCCAUUUUUGUCGAGAAGCACACAGCAAGUGCUCAACAAGGAGAUUUGGUAUUCAGAGGAGACCCACAGUGACCAUUAGGAUUUUAAACCACCAUGAGCAGUAAUUCUUCUCAUUUAAAAUAAAUGUCCUCUAAGCUUUUUUAGUAACACACUUUAUGAGACUCCGCUAGUUUCUCGUGCUGUUUCAGACAGCUCUGGGUAAGCAGGAGAUGCUGAAUCCAGUGAGGCAGAAAAGUCAGAAUUUGCCUUUUCUCAAAAUCCAUCUUGGCCCCAACUUGGCUGCAUCUUGCUUCUGAGUCAUAUAGCAAGGGUUCGUUGAAGGUCACCGCAAUGCCCUGGACUACUUUGGAGUUUCAAUGUAUUGCUGUUGAAAUAAUUUUUAAUCUCUUCCUGUCAGCUGGCCAGAUGAUACAAUAAUAUUACCCUGUGUUGCCUCACAAGUGAUUAAAGAACAAGAGCACAGCAAGUCCUGCUUCCCAGCCCUCUCACAGGAGAGCAUAGAGGCUUCUGCAGGGAGAACGAGCCUUCUGCAACAUACAGAUAUUCCCAGAAAGACAAUUCACAAAGCAGUUUAUUAGUGCCUGUGUUUUCAAGGCACUGCUGAGCGGAAUGCCAGGGCCAUUGGCUCCUGUUUUAUUAAGGUUCUUGUCUAUCUGACUCAGACUCACAAAUUUUCUGGCCACAGACUUGGAAUUUACUGUAAAGUGAGUCAUCCGGUAUGAACCAAUGAAAAUUCUCCAGGCAAAUUCAGUUCAGACUCUGAGUUGUUAUUUUUAUUCUAAAAUGGUCUUUUUCUUUAUUAUCUGGAAACUCAUCAGUUAGGUGAGUCUGAGUGAGUCUGUGUUAAGAGGCUAAAAUUAAUAAAUCCAUCUGGGUAAUUUCAUGCCAAAAGCCACAACCUUCGGUUGAUAAAAAGGAAGAUGUUUCAUUUCAAUUGGAAGGUCACAGUCGGUCUGCUAAGCUGAUUUUGAAAACGAUAUGCUGAUAAGCAUAGGAAAGGGUAAAGAAAUUCCUUACAAAGCAAAAUGAAAAUAAGAAUUUCUUUUUUCAUCACACCAGAGGAAGAUUCAAAUUAAUGUCCUCAGAGAGAGGUCACUUUGAGAUACAGAGAAUCAAAGGUUGGCUACCAUAGGUUUAGUUUUUUAUAAUCUGCUUAUAACUAGUUACUUCCUUGAUCACUUCAGCACCUACAACUAUCUUGAGACAGUUUUUACCACUUUACAAUAAAAAUACUAGAAAUAAACAUUUUCUUUUAUUUUCAGUACUCUGGAAAGUCAAAUUUUAUUUGAGCCCAAACAACUAAAUUCUGACUCUAUCUUUUAAAGUGCUCCAGAGCCAAGACUCUAAGCCAUAGAGCCUUAUUGCUACAAUCAUGGUCAUCAGAUUACCUGUGGAGCUCUUGCUGAAUGGUGGAGCCAGGAAGGAGCAGCCACUGCAAUCUCUUUAUGUCUGUAGAGCUGUUGCUAAGCAGUACUACAGGCAGUGUCUAAAGGCCCAUCUCCAAGCCUGGAGUGUUCCAAACAACAUCUAUAAGAAGUCUCCAGAGCUGUGGCAUCCCAGUGAGAAUGGCUCUUGCAUUCAGGCUCCAACAAAAGUGUCCAGGCAGGAAGUUGAAAUGGAGGAAGUUAUGUUAGAAUGACUAUCCUCAUUACACAGAUGAGAAAAGUGAGUCAUG